Molecule: ribosomal RNA, 253 nt
Filed under: uncultured bacterium
Lineage: Bacteria
Description: partial 16S ribosomal RNA
Rfam family: Bacterial small subunit ribosomal RNA
Source: RNAcentral
UACGUAGGGGGCAAGCGUUGUCCGGAUUUAUUGGGCGUAAAGAGCGUGUAGGCGGUUUGGUAGGUCCGUUGUGAAAACUCGAGGCUCAACCUCGAGACGCCGGCGGAAACCAUCAGGCUAGAGUCCGGAAGAGGAGAGUGGAAUUCCUGGUGUAGCGGUGAAAUGCGUAGAUAUCGUGAGGAAGACCAGUGGCGAAGGCGGGUCUCUGGACAGUUCCUGACGCUGAGGCGCGAAGGCCAGGGGAGCAAACGGG